Molecule: ribosomal RNA, 328 nt
Filed under: uncultured eukaryote
Lineage: Eukaryota
Description: partial 18S ribosomal RNA
Rfam family: Eukaryotic small subunit ribosomal RNA
Source: RNAcentral
CCCUUAGAUGUCCGGGGCUGCACGCGCGCUACACUGAAGGAAUCAGCGUGCUAAAACCAUUGUCGAGAGGCAUUGGUAAACCCAUUAAAAUCCUACGUGAUUGGGAUCGGGAAUUGCAAUUAUUUCCCUUGAACGAGGAAUUCCCAGUAAGUGUGGGUCAUAAGCUCGCGUUGAUUACGUCCCUGCCCUUUGUACACACCGCCCGUCGCUGCCCGGGACUGAGCCGUUUCGAGAAAAGCGGGGACUGCUGCUGUCGGGGCUUUCGGGCCUUGGCUUCGGUGGAAACCGCUUUAAUCGCAGUGGCUUGAACCGGGCAAAAGUCGUAACA